RNAcentral lists this unclassified non-coding RNA (643 nucleotides) under Hevea brasiliensis (rubber tree). Lineage: Eukaryota; Viridiplantae; Streptophyta; Magnoliopsida; Malpighiales; Euphorbiaceae. The record is from RNAcentral.
UGUGAUACUCAUUUUAUUGCCAUUGCAAGGACAACUAGAAGUGCAUCACUUUAUUUCUUAACAUUGAUACUUAAUACUACAGAAGGACUCUGUCUGUAAGUGUUGAACUAUUGUACCACACAAUAAUGAGUUGCUAUAGAUCUUGGUGUCUCCAAGAACAAAAUGCCUCAAUGGAAGUAGGUAGAGGAGUUUGCAUUGGAUGUUUUUCUUCAUGAAAUAAGCGUGCAAAUGUCAGUGAGUGGCGUUUGAAUAAAAUUAUGGUCAAAGAUUAAGCAUUCAGAACAUUUAGUUUUUGGCCACCAUUGCAGACCACAAAAAUUAGGAUCUGCAGAUAAGCAUAAGGUUUGCCUCUGCCUCAGCACCCUCUUGUGCAACUUUAAGAAGUUGGCAUUGAUAAAAGUGUUUAUGAUAAGUAGAAAAUGGUGGAAACAGUAGAAGGAAGUGAUGGUAAUGGGUCAACUUAGGUUUAAAUCUCACUAGGCACAAAAUUAAAGAGAAAAGAUUAGAGGAAAUGGCGAAAUGCAUUGCAUCAUUUGUUGAAGUAGAAAGUCAGGACCUCUUUUUCCAUUUUAGUCUUGGACACUUUCUUCAUUCAUUUCGUUAUCUGAACCUUUAAUAUCUGUACAUGAAUGGGUGUGCAUAU